GUUGGUAAAGUUCUGCUUUAACUUUCAGUAAAAUAAAAAACUUUCCUAAAUCUUUUCUCAGAACCCACCCAAGGAUUUCAGUUAAAGACUUCCAAAUAACUCAACUGAAGGUGGAUAAUUAGCGCAGCAAAUUUCAUCUCAAAACCUACUGGUAACAGAAAAUGGGAAAAUCGGACUCGUGAUCAGAAGCUUGGAGGAAACAAUAACCCUAAGUAUUGAAUUACUCAACAAUUUUCCAGACCAUAAACCUGUUGCAUACCACACUGGCAUAUUGACAGUCUCACUGUGUUACGUAAUUUACUGUCUUUGGGGAGAUGAGAUUUGGGAUAUUUUUUGGCCAUUACGUUCAACUAGAGGCGAAAAGAAGACCAUGGCGUCUUGCAAGCUUUAGCUUAUGAGAACUAAGCAACAGGAAAUGAAAAUGGAUUGAAAUCCAUCAUGACAGGACUGAAAGUUCAGCAAAAUUUUUCAUUCUUUCUUUCUUUUUGCACACUAGCCUCAGCUUUGGUGCAUAUCAGGAGCACAUCAGAUAUGUUCUACUGUUUUCAGACUUAAUUAUGUUUUACAUAAACCAAGAGGAAACUACUUUUCUUCCCAAAGGUGAAGAACUAUCAGUGUGAAGAAGUAUAUUCACUGGAGUAAGCCUAUGACACAGCUAUUGAUACUCUAGCCUUUCUCUUACAGUUUGCAAACCAGUCAGUAUUCUUUUGAGCUACUCCAAAGAGCAUCCUGUGUCUGAG
Molecule: long non-coding RNA, 740 nt
Filed under: Struthio camelus australis
Lineage: Eukaryota; Metazoa; Chordata; Aves; Struthioniformes; Struthionidae
Description: lncRNA (ENSSCUG00000000516.1)
Source: RNAcentral